This is a non-coding RNA of Brachypodium distachyon (stiff brome), 127 nucleotides long. The record is from Rfam. NCBI's taxonomy places the organism in Eukaryota, Viridiplantae, Streptophyta, Magnoliopsida, Poales, Poaceae.
AAUGUACUCCCUCCGUCCCAUAUAUUAAGUGACUCAAAUUUGCCUAAAUAUGGAUGUAUCUAUAUCCAAAAAGCGUCUAGAUACAUGAAAUAUUUCGUCACUUAAUAUGGGAUGGAGGGAGUAUUAU